GUGCCAGCCGCCGCGGUAAUACAGAGGGUGCAAGCGUUAAUCGGAAUUACUGGGCGUAAAGCGCACGUAGGCGGUUCGUUAAGUUGGAUGUGAAAGCCCCGGGCUCAACCUGGGAAUUGCAUUCAAAACUGGCCAACUAGAGUAUGUGAGAGGGGGGUAGAAUUCCAAGUGUAGCGGUGAAAUGCGUAGAGAUUUGGAGGAAUACCAGUGGCGAAGGCGGCCCCCUGGCACAAUACUGACGCUGAGGUGC
This 250-nucleotide ribosomal RNA is filed under the name uncultured bacterium. Its description in RNAcentral is "partial 16S ribosomal RNA". It matches the Rfam family "Bacterial small subunit ribosomal RNA", at positions 505 to 754 of the family's 1533-position model. The record is from RNAcentral.